Molecule: unclassified non-coding RNA, 238 nt
Filed under: uncultured Mollisia
Lineage: Eukaryota; Fungi; Ascomycota; Leotiomycetes; Helotiales; Dermateaceae
Description: partial contains 5.8S ribosomal RNA, internal transcribed spacer 2, and large subunit ribosomal RNA
Source: RNAcentral
AACGCACAUUGCGCCCUGUGGUAUUCUGCAGGGCAUGCCUGUUCGAGCGUCAUUAUAACCACUCAAGCCUGGCUUGGUGUUGGGGUUUGCGGUUCCGCAGCCCCUAAAAUCAGUGGCGGUGCCGGUGGGCUCUACGCGUAGUAAAUUUCCUCGCGAUUGAGUUCCCCCGGUGGCCUGCCAGAACCCCCAAUUUUUACAGGUUGACCUCGGAUCAGGUAGGGAUACCCGCUGAACUUAA